AAAAAAAAGAGUUUGAUCCUGGCUCAGAAUCAACGCUGGCGGCGUGCCUAACACAUGCAAGUCGAACGCGGUUUCCCCGCAAGGGGAAACUGAGUGGCGAACGGGUGAGUAACACGUGGGUGACCUGCCUUCGAGUGGGGGAUAACAUUCCGAAAGGGAUGCUAAUACCGCAUGACAUCCUGCCUUUGAAGAGGCGGAGAUCAAAGCCGGGGAUCGUAAGACCUGGCGUUUGAAGAGGGCCCCGCGUCCGAUUAGCUAGUUGGUGGGGUAAUGGCCUACCAAGGCGACGAUCGGUAGCCGGCCUGAGAGGGCGGACGGCCACACUGGGACUGAGACACGGCCCAGACUCCUACGGGAGGCAGCAGUGGGGAAUUGUUCGCAAUGGGCGCAAGCCUGACGACGCAACGCCGCGUGGAGGAUGAAGAUCUUCGGGUCGUAAACUCCUUUCGAUCGGGACGAAUGGCCGGUGACCUAACACGUCAUCGGAGUGACGGUACCGAGAGAAGAAGCCCCGGCUAACUCCGUGCCAGCCGCCGCGGUAAU
This 543-nucleotide ribosomal RNA is filed under the name uncultured Acidobacteriota bacterium. RNAcentral's name for it is "bacterial SSU rRNA". It matches the Rfam family "Bacterial small subunit ribosomal RNA", at positions 1 to 524 of the family's 1533-position model. The record is from RNAcentral. Lineage: Bacteria; Pseudomonadati; Acidobacteriota.